AACGAACGCUGGCGGCAUGCCUAACACAUGCAAGUCGAACGCUUUUGGGGCUUCGGCCCCAAGGGAGUGGCGCACGGGUGAGUAGCGCGUGGGAACCUGCCCUGUUGUGGGGGAUAACCGAGGGAAACUUCGGCUAAUACCGCAUAAGCCGGUUGUCUUGAGAGAGAUGGCCGGGAAAGAUUUAUCGCGACAGGAGGGGCCCGCGUCGGAUUAGGUAGUUGGCGGGGUAACGGCCCACCAAGCCGAUGAUCCGUAGCUGGUCUGAGAGGA
Molecule: ribosomal RNA, 270 nt
Filed under: uncultured bacterium
Lineage: Bacteria
Description: partial 16S ribosomal RNA
Rfam family: Bacterial small subunit ribosomal RNA
Source: RNAcentral